Molecule: small RNA, 83 nt
Filed under: Marmota monax (woodchuck)
Lineage: Eukaryota; Metazoa; Chordata; Mammalia; Rodentia; Sciuridae
Source: RNAcentral
GCUGGGUGUGGUGGCACACACCUGUAAUUCCAGGGAGUAAGGAGGCUGAGGCAGGAGGAUGGAAAGUUCCAGUCCAGCCUCAA